GUAACAAGGUUUCCGUAGGUGAACCUGCGGAAGGAUCAUUGUCGAAACCUGCAAAGCAGAACGACCCGCGAACCCGUCGAUUGCACCGGCGCGGGGGGCGUGCUCGGCUUGUCCGGGUGCUACUCCAACGCCUGCCGGGGGGGUGAGGCAUGCCUCGCUCCCCACGGCGCUAACAAUGAACCCCGGCGCGGACUGCGCCAAGGAAAUGCAACGAGAGAGCACGCUCCCGUGGCCCCGGAGACGGUGCGCCUACGGGAUGCGGCGCCUUCUUUCAACCUUAUCUAAAACGACUCUCGGCAACGGAUAUCUCGGCUCUCGCAUCGAUGAAGAACGUAGCGAAAUGCGAUACUUGGUGUGAAUUGCAGAAUCCCGUGAACCAUCGAGUCUUUGAACGCAAGUUGCGCCCCAAGCCGUCAGGCCGAGGGCACGUCUGCCUGGGUGUCACGCAUCGUUGCCCCCUCCCGACCCCCUCCGCCUAGAGGGGCUGUUGGCGUUUGGGGGCGUAGAUUGGCCUCCCGUGGGCUUAUCGCCCGCGGUUGGCCCAAAAUUGAGUCCCUUCGGCGAAUGCGGCCGCGACUAUCGGUGGUUGUCUCGUUAGAGCCUGUCGAGAUUCCGUCGCGGCCCUAUUUGCCGCGCAUGGGCUAAUUGGACCCUGACGCUCCGCGCUAGCGGCGCUCGCAUCGCGACCCCAGGUCAGGCGGGACUACCCGCUGAAUUUAAGCAUAUC
Molecule: ribosomal RNA, 727 nt
Filed under: Cneorum tricoccon
Lineage: Eukaryota; Viridiplantae; Streptophyta; Magnoliopsida; Sapindales; Rutaceae
Description: eukaryotic LSU rRNA
Rfam family: 5.8S ribosomal RNA (bases 289-444)
Source: RNAcentral